AAAAGAGGACUAAGCACUCUGAUGAUUCCAACCAGAGAGGAAACACAGACAUCACCAGGACUGAGAUUGACCUCUAUGAGAACUGCCCUCCACUCUCCACCCGCGCAGAAUCCACCUACCAGAGUCUGGAUCCAGCCUCCAGGGAUCCAGACUACUCUACUCUCUCUUGGAUACAACACCGAUGAUGAUGUCAGCAAGAGUGGGUGCGUGAUCACAGAAUGCUUGUAUCGACAGUUUUGUUGUCAUUACUUAGAAU
Molecule: long non-coding RNA, 256 nt
Organism: Perca fluviatilis (European perch)
Lineage: Eukaryota; Metazoa; Chordata; Actinopteri; Perciformes; Percidae
Exons: 3
Source: RefSeq, a predicted model, not a curated record